Molecule: ribosomal RNA, 1578 nt
Filed under: Ctenocephalides felis (cat flea)
Lineage: Eukaryota; Metazoa; Arthropoda; Insecta; Siphonaptera; Pulicidae
Description: SSU rRNA
Rfam family: Eukaryotic small subunit ribosomal RNA
Source: RNAcentral
CCUGGUUGAUCCUGCCAGUAGUAUAUGCUUGUCUCAAAGAUUAAGCCAUGCAUGUCUCAGUGCAAGCCACAUUAAGGUGAAACCGCGAAUGGCUCAUUACAUCAGUUAUGGUUCCUUAGAUCGUACCCACAUUACUUGGAUAACUGUGGUAAUUCUAGAGCUAAUACAUGCAAAUAGAGUUCCGACCAGAGAUGGAAGGAAUGCUUUUAUUAGAUCAAAACCAAUCGGUGGCGGGCUUGCCUUGCUCACCGUUUGACUUGGUGACUCUGAAUAACUUUGUGCCGAUCGCACGGUCUAGUACCGGCGACGCAUCUUUCAAAUGUCUGCCUUAUCAACUGUCGAUGGUAGUUUCUGCGACUACCAUGGUUGUUACGGGUAACGGGGAAUCAGGGUUCGAUUCCGGAGAGGGAGCCUGAGAAACGGCUACCACAUCCAAGGAAGGCAGCAGGCGCGCAAAUUACCCACUCCCGGCACGGGGAGGUAGUGACGAAAAAUAACGAUACGGGACUCAUCCGAGGCCCCGUAAUCGGAAUGAGUACACUUUAAAUCCUUUAACGAGGAUCUAUUAGAGGGCCAGUCUGGUGCCAGCAGCCGCGGUAAUUCCAGCUCUAAUAGCGUAUAUUAAAGUUGUUGCGGUUAAAAAGCUCGUAGUUGAAUCUGUGUCCCACACUGUCGGUUCACCGCUCGCGGUGUUCAACUGGCAUGUCUGUGGGACGUCCUACCGGUGAGAUCAGAUACCGCCCUAGUUCUAACCAUAAACGAUGCCAGCUAGCGAUCCGCCGAAGUUCCUCCGAUGACUCGGCGGGCAGCUUCCGGGAAACCAAAGCUUUUGGGUUCCGGGGGAAGUAUGGUUGCAAAGCUGAAACUUAAAGGAAUUGACGGAAGGGCACUACAAGGAGUGGAGCCUGCGGCUUAAUUUGACUCAACAGGGAAACCUCACCAGGUGUCCAGACACCGGAAGGAUUGACAGAUUGAGAGCUCUUUCUUGAUUCGGUGGGUGGUGGUGCAUGGCCGUUCUUAGUUGGUGGAGUGAUUUGUCUGGUUAAUUCUGAUAACGAACGAGACUCUAGCCUGCUAAAUAGACGUACUUUCUGGUAUCGCAAAGACCCUCCGCUUCGGCUUCGGUCGUUGUUGGUUGUGGUUCUCACUACCGGCGUACAAAUAUAUCUUCUUAGAGGGACAGGCGACAUUUAGUCGCACGAAAUUGAGCAAUAACAGGUCUGUGAUGCCCUUAGAUGUUCUGGGCCACGCGCGCUACACUGAAGAGAUCAGCAGGUUUUCCUGGCCGAAAGGUCCGGUAAUCCGUUGAAGCCUCUUCGUGCUAGGGAUUGGGGCUUGCAAUUCUUCCCCAUGAACGAGGAAUUCCUAGUAAGCGCGAGUCAUAAGCUUGCGUUGAUUAUGUCCCUGCCCUUUGUACACACCCCCGUCGCUACUACCGAUUGAAUUAUUUAGUGAGGUCUUCGGACCGGUGCGCGGCAGCGUUUCGACAUUGCCGAUGUUGCUGGGAAGAUAACCAAACUUGAUUAUUUAGAGGAAGUAAAAGUCGUAACAAGGUUUCCGUAGGUGAACCUGCGGAAG